GCAUAUCAAUAAGCGGAGGAAAAGAAAAUAACAAUGAUUCCCCUAGUAACUGCGAGUGAAGAGGGACAAGCUCAAAUUUUAAAUCUGUUAGGCUUACCUAACCGAGUUGUAAUUUGAAGAGGCGUUUUCUGUGUUUCUGAUCAUCCCAAGUCCUUUGGGAUAGGGCAUCAUGGAGGGUGAGAAUCCCGUUCGGUUGAUCAGAUUCGCUUUACGAUACGUCAUCUAAGAGUCAAGUUGUUUGGGAUUGCAGCUUAAAAUGGGAGGUAAAUUUCUCCUAAGGCUAAAUAACGGCGAGAGACCGAUAGCGAACAAGUACCGUGAGGGAAAGAUGAAAAGAACUUUGAAAAGAGAGUUAAACAGUACGUGAAAUUGUUGAAAGGGAAACGAUUGAAGCCAGCCGUACCUUCGGGUAAUCAGCCUUUCGGGUGCGAUUCUGUGGAGCGUGAGGAGUUAAACGCCUUCAUGCCUGCAUAUUCGUGCACUUUGGGUGUACUUGCCCGUGUGGUAGGUUAACAUCAAUUUCGGAUAUCAUAAAAUGGCUGGAGGAAUGUAGCUUCGGUCUCGUAUUGAAGUGUUAUAGCCUCUGGUAGAUGUGAUGACCGGGAUUGAGGAUUGCAACGAAUACCUUUUGGGCUACCCGCCUGAUCUCUGAAAGUUGCUCUGGUGCCGAAAGCUUGCUUACGGUUAUCAAAGUUGACGUUCAAAAGGUUAGAACGGGUUAAAUUCGUUAAGGAUGUUGACGUA
RNAcentral lists this ribosomal RNA (744 nucleotides) under uncultured Glomerales. RNAcentral describes it as "LSU rRNA". It matches the Rfam family "Eukaryotic large subunit ribosomal RNA", at positions 38 to 633 of the family's 3401-position model. Lineage: Eukaryota; Fungi; Glomeromycota; Glomeromycetes; Glomerales; Glomeraceae. The record is from RNAcentral.